RNAcentral lists this transfer RNA (72 nucleotides) under Aesalus sp. JL-2019. Its description in RNAcentral is "tRNA-Thr". The stretch from base 1 to 62 matches the Rfam family "tRNA". Rfam says of the family: Transfer RNA (tRNA) molecules are approximately 80 nucleotides in length. Lineage: Eukaryota; Metazoa; Arthropoda; Insecta; Coleoptera; Lucanidae. The record is from RNAcentral.
GUUUUAAUAAUUUAAUUAAAAUAUUGGUCUUGUAAACCAAAAAUAAGUACCCUUUUAAAACAUCAGAGAAAG